This 752-nucleotide ribosomal RNA is filed under the name uncultured bacterium. Its description in RNAcentral is "bacterial SSU rRNA". It matches the Rfam family "Bacterial small subunit ribosomal RNA", at positions 8 to 796 of the family's 1533-position model. The record is from RNAcentral.
AGAGUUUGAUCAUGGCUCAGAACGAACGCUGGCGGCAUGCCUAACACAUGCAAGUCGAACGUGAUCCAGGCUUCGGUCUGGUGAAAGUGGCAAACGGGUGAGUAACGCGUGGGAACCUGCCCAGAGGUAGGGAAUAACUGCGGGAAACUGCAGCUAAUACCCUAUGUGUCCUGAGGGACAAAGAUUUAUCGCCUUUGGAGGGGCCCGCGUCGGAUUAGGUAGUUGGUGGGGUAACGGCCUACCAAGCCAUCGAUCCGUAGCUGGUCUGAGAGGAUGAUCAGCCACACUGGGACUGAGAUACGGCCCAGACUCCUACGGGAGGCAGCAGUGGGGAAUAUUGGACAAUGGGGGCAACCCUGAUCCAGCAAUGCCGCGUGAGUGAUGAAGGCCUUCGGGUUGUAAAGCUCUUUCGGCGGGGAAGAUGAUGACGGUACCCGCAGAAGAAGCCCCGGCUAACUUCGUGCCAGCAGCCGCGGUAAUACGAAGGGGGCUAGCGUUGUUCGGAAUUACUGGGCGUAAAGGGCGCGUAGGCUGUGCUGUAAGUCAGGCGUGAAAUCCCCGGGCUCAACCUGGGAAUUGCGUUUGAUACUGCGGCGCUGGAAUGCAGGAGAGGAUGGCGGAAUUCCCAGUGUAGAGGUGAAAUUCGUAGAUAUUGGGAAGAACACCGGUGGCGAAGGCGGCCAUCUGGCCUGUAAUUGACGCUGAGGCGCGAAAGCGUGGGGAGCAAACAGGAUUAGAUACCCNNGUAGUCC